GGCAGGGGCGGGGAGCUUACCGACCUCCCGCCCCCGCUGCGCGCGUUUCUGGCCCUGCCAGUGUCUCCGCCGGUUGAAAGCGCGUGUCUGCGUCGGGUUCUGUUGGAGUGCGUUCGGUGUGCCGUGGGUCCGCGCUGCUUCCACCCAACUUCCUGUUAGGACCCACCCGAGGACGGGUCACCAUGGCUUUGGAGCACCUGGUAGUGUGGCAUGUCCACAGUGAAGACCAGAGUUUCGUUGUCCUUAAGACUGACCUGGGGAGACGUGGCUGCAGGCCAUUGAGGAAGUGAGAAACCUGGUUCCCACCAUCUGCGACUUAAUACGGCACCGAAAGCGAAGGAAGCUCCUGCUCCUCCUAAAGCCGAAGCCAAAGUGAAGGCUUUAAAGGCCAAGAAGGCAGUGUUGAAAGGUGUCCGCAGCCACACGCAAAAAAGAAGAUCCGCAUGUCACUCACCUUCAGGCGGCCCAAGACACUGCGACUUCGGAGGCAGCCCAGAUAUCCUCGGAAGAGCACCCCCAGGAGAAACAAGCUUGGCCACUAUGCUAUCAAGUUUCCGCUGACCACUGAGUGGGCCGGAAGAAGAUAGAAGAAAGCAACAUGCUUGUGUUCUUCGUGGAUGUUAAAGCCAACAAGCACCAGAUCAGACAGGCUGUGAAGAAGGUCUAUGACAGUGAUGUGGCCAAGGUCACCACCCUGAUUUUUCCUGAUAAAGAGAACAAGGCAUAUAUGUUCGACUGGCUCCUGAUUAUGAAGCUUUGGAUGUUGCAACAAAAUUGGGAUCAUCUAAACUGAGUCCAGCUGGCUAACUCUAAAUACAUGUGUAUCUUUUCACCAUAAAAGAAUAAUGUUUUUCAUAAGAGUGACAACUUAAUUAGAAUCAAAUCUAUAAGCUUUAAGAUUUUACAUUUCUGUAAGUAUAAUAUUAGCUUAUUUGACUAGAACUCAAGCAGAAUAGGAAUUUAUGUUUGUUUUAUAUUCAAGUGAUAACUUUGAAGACAUAGUUUUAUUACACCAAAAAUUUUAUAUUAAUCUCAUUUAAGUAAGUUUUAUCCAAAUCAUGUUAACUUAAAAAACAUUUGAUCAGUU
RNAcentral lists this long non-coding RNA (1087 nucleotides) under Homo sapiens (human). Its description in RNAcentral is "long non-coding RNA NONHSAT216675.1". Lineage: Eukaryota; Metazoa; Chordata; Mammalia; Primates; Hominidae. The record is from RNAcentral.